RNAcentral lists this unclassified non-coding RNA (495 nucleotides) under uncultured Glomeromycotina. Its description in RNAcentral is "SSU rRNA". It matches the Rfam family "Eukaryotic small subunit ribosomal RNA", at positions 591 to 1092 of the family's 1831-position model. The record is from RNAcentral. Lineage: Eukaryota; Fungi; Glomeromycota.
CCAAUAGCGUAUAUUAAAGUUGUUGUGGUUAAAAAGCUCGUAGUUGAACCUUGGGCCUGGCUGGCCGGUCCGCCUCACCGCGUGUACUGGUCCGGCCGGGCCUUUCCCUCUGUGGAACCCCAUGCCCUUCACUGGGUGUGGCGGGGAAACAGGACUUUUACUUUGAAAAAAUUAGAGUGCUCCAGGCAGGCCUAUGCUCGAAUACAUUAGCAUGGAAUAAUAGAAUAGGACGUGUGGUUCUAUUUUGUUGGUUUCUAGGACCGCCGUAAUGAUUAAUAGGGACAGUGGGGGGCAUCAGUAUUCAAUUGUCAGAGGUGAAAUUCUUGGAUUUAUUGAAGACUAACUACUGCGAAAGCAUUUGCCAAGGAUGUUUUCAUUAAUCAGGAACGAAAGUUAGGGGAUCGAAGACGAUCAGAUACCGUCGUAGUCUUAACCAUAAACUAUGCCGACUAGGGAUCGGACGAUGUUAUUUUUUGACUCGUUCGGCACCUUACG